Molecule: unclassified non-coding RNA, 502 nt
Filed under: Hevea brasiliensis (rubber tree)
Lineage: Eukaryota; Viridiplantae; Streptophyta; Magnoliopsida; Malpighiales; Euphorbiaceae
Source: RNAcentral
UGAAAAUUCCACCACACCCAAAAAUCAGAUCUCUGCAGAUUCAUUAUACAACCCAACUCGGCAAAUGCAUCCCCAACUUCCUCGAGUUCAGGGGCAGUUUCCUCUUCCUGCAGCGAUGCAAUUUCAGGCUGAGAAGAAUAACGUUCCAUUUCAGGCAUUUAUGCAGCCACCUGUUCAUGUAGGAAACGAUGGACAGUUUCAAAACAGACCUAUGGUCUUCCCUCAAUUUGUAGCAGCUGACUUGUCUAGGCUUCAGAUGCAAUCCCCAUGGCGAGGGUUAAGUCCACAUUCUCAUCCGAAGCAAAAACAAGAGACACUUCCUCCUGACUUGAAUAUUGGUUUCCAGUCUCCAGGAUCUCCAGUGAAACAGUCUUCAGGUGUCAUGGUUGACUCGCAGCAGCCGGACUUGGCAUUGCAACUCUGAGCAUGGAUGGGCUUUUUAGAGGAUUUGGUGAAUCCCAAAGAUUGCUUAUGCUGAGGUGAUAUUGGUUACGUACUCGAG